GCGAACGUUGCUCGGAAUCACUGGGCUUAAAGGGCUCGUAGGCGGUUAUGUAAGUUAGGUGUGAAAUCCCCGGGCUUAACCCGGGACGUGCACUUAAAACUGUGUAACUGGAGUACAGGAGAGGAUAGCGGAAUUCCCGGUGUAGAGGUGAAAUUCGUAGAUAUCGGGAAGAACACCAGAGGCGAAGGCGGCUAUCUGGACUGUAACUGACGCUGAUGAGCGAAAGCGUGGGUAGCGAACAGGAUUAGAUACCCUGGUAGUCCACGCUGUAAACGAUGAGUGCUAGACGUCGGGUGUAUUAACACAUUCGGUGUCGCAGUUAACGCGCUAAGCACUCCGCCUGGGGAGUACGGCCGCAAGGCUAAAACUCAAAGGAAUUGACGGGGGCCCGCACAAGCGGUGGAGCAUGUGGUUUAAUUCGAUGCAACGCGAAGAACCUUACCUGGGUUGGAACCCCCUGGAAUUCAUCAGAGAAGGUGAAGUGCCUUAUUUUAAGGAGCCGGGUGUUCAGGUGCUGCAUGGCUGUCGUCAGCUCGUGUCGUGAGAUGUUGGGUUAAGUCCCGCAACGAGCGCAACCCUUGUUGCUAGUUACUAACAGGUAAAGCUGAGGACUCUAGCGAGACUGCCGGUGGUAAACCGGAGGAAGGUGGGGAUGACGUCAAGUCCUCAUGGCCUUUAUGUCCAGGGCUACACACGUGCUACAAUGGCUGAUACAGAGGGCAGCGAUCCCGUGAGGGUUAGCAAAUCCUUUAAAGUCAGCCCUAGUUCGGAUUGCAGUCUGCAACUCGACUGCAUGAAGCUGGAAUCGCUAGUAAUCGCGGAUCAGCAUACCGCGGUGAUACGUUCCCGGGCCUUGUACACACCGCCCGUCACACCAUGGAAGUUGGGUGCUCCAGAAGUGGCUGUCCUAACCAAUUUGGAUGGAAGUCCCCAAGGAGUGUCUGAUGACUGG
This 952-nucleotide ribosomal RNA is filed under the name uncultured organism. RNAcentral describes it as "bacterial SSU rRNA". It matches the Rfam family "Bacterial small subunit ribosomal RNA", at positions 534 to 1478 of the family's 1533-position model. The record is from RNAcentral.